AUGGGCUCGACGCCGGGGAGCAGCUACGACUGCUCCUUCAAGGUGCUGCUCAUCGGCGACUCCGCCGUCGGCAAGAGCAGCCUCCUCGUCAGCUUCGUCUCCGCCGCCCCCACCGACGAUGACAUCUCCCCCACCAUAGGGGUGGAUUUUAAAAUCAAGUUUCUCACUGUUGGGGAUAAGAAAUUGAAGUUGACAAUAUGGGACACCGCUGGCCAGGAGAGGUUUAGGACAAUCACUAGUUCUUACUACAGAGGUGCUCAUGGAAUUAUCUUAGUUUAUGAUGUCACGAAGAGACAAAGUUUCACAAAUUUGGCUGAUGUAUGGGCCAAAGAAAUAGAAAUGCACUCAACAAACAAAGAGUGCGUCAAAAUGCUUGUUGGAAACAAAGUGGACAAGGAUGAGGACAGAAUGGUAACAACAGAAGAAGGUCUUGCCUUUGCACAGCAGUGUGGAUGCCUUUUUCUUGAGAGCAGUGCCAAAACAAGAGAAAAUGUGGAGAAAUGUUUUGAAGAGCUUGCACUAAAGAUUCUCGAGGUCCCAAGUCUGUCGGAGGAAGGCUCGUCCGUCGUCAAGAGGAACUCGCUGAAACAGAAGCACGAGAAGAGCGGGGGAUGCUGUCAGUAG
This 624-nucleotide ribosomal RNA is filed under the name Triticum aestivum (bread wheat). RNAcentral's name for it is "partial small subunit ribosomal RNA". Lineage: Eukaryota; Viridiplantae; Streptophyta; Magnoliopsida; Poales; Poaceae. The record is from RNAcentral.